AGCAGCCGCGGUAAUUCCAGCUCCAAUAGCGUAUAUUAAAGUUGCUGCAGUUAAAAAGCUCGUAGUUGAAUUUCGGGACCAUCAUGUCGGUCGUGCCUCGGUACGUACUGGCAUUGUUGGUUUCUACCUUCUGAAGAACCUCGAUGUCAUUAAUUUGGUGUCUUGGGGAAUCAGGACUGUUACUUUGAAAAAAUUAGAGUGUUUAAAGCAGGCACGCGCUUGAAUACAUUAGCAUGGAAUAAUGAAAUAGGACGUUUGAUUCUAUUUUGUUGGUUUCUAGGAUUGACGUAAUGAUUAAUAGGGAUAGUUGGGGGCAUUAGUAUUCAAUUGUCAGAGGUGAAAUUCUUGGAUUUAUUGAAGACUAAC
This 366-nucleotide ribosomal RNA is filed under the name uncultured Glomus. RNAcentral's name for it is "SSU rRNA". It matches the Rfam family "Eukaryotic small subunit ribosomal RNA", at positions 569 to 940 of the family's 1831-position model. The record is from RNAcentral. Lineage: Eukaryota; Fungi; Glomeromycota; Glomeromycetes; Glomerales; Glomeraceae.